This 1862-nucleotide long non-coding RNA is filed under the name Triticum aestivum (bread wheat). RNAcentral describes it as "long non-coding RNA (TAES_LNC028151)". Lineage: Eukaryota; Viridiplantae; Streptophyta; Magnoliopsida; Poales; Poaceae. The record is from RNAcentral.
GAACUUCGAGCAGCAGUAAACUUGCAUUAAAAAAGGAGUAAACACAAGUGACACAAUAAAAUGUACUUAAUACAUGAACUUGUGAACAUUGUCUACAGGAGAAGUUAAUAGAAAUAGUGGUCAAUUACAUCAUAUAAUUUGGUUCUAUACUCUUUUGUGUAUAUAUCCUGAAUGAUACCCCUUUGUGAUCAACUCUUUGUCCUCUGAAUCGAAUGGCACAGCUACUGCCCCUUGUGGAAAAAGAAAGGGUUCUGUAAUACCCAUAAAUGUAAAAGGAAAACAUCAUGUGAUGCAUCUCAACCUGCGCAAAACAAUGUAAAAACCAUACAUGCUAUCUACAUACCCUCAUUGUCUAGCAAAGCAUAAGUAGCUGAGGGACCCUAUACAAAAGAAUUGACAAUUAGUAAGAAAGAAGCAUGCCACUUUACAUGGAACAAAAAAAAUGAUUAUUAUGGUGAGCGCAGAAUAACAUGAAGUUGUCAUGUGUAGCCAACAACUGCAGCUAUCUGUAUAGGCUACUGCUACUUUACAAUCUAUAUUGACAGGAAUAUUUGUGAAGUCAUUCAAAUCUAUCUUAAGUGAAAACAUACUUAUAAGGCAUACUUAAUUCUCUCCGUUGUUCAUUUUCCUUUUGAUGUCACUUUAUUCAUAUGGCAAGUAUGAGUUUAAUCAUCAGUAGACAGAAACUUUGUGUGAAUCAAAAUACCAAGUUUAGUAUGGAAACUAUAGUUUCUCCAUAUGUCAUUAUUUCAAGACAAAGCAUGUCAUUCACACCCACUUAGAAUCAUAAUUUCCAGUAAACUUUCCAUACAGCAAUAUCAAUAAAAAGGCUUUUGUUCUUUACCUUUAAUAGAAGAGGCAACUGGCUGAGGCUGCCCUAGCAAGAGGUCAAACUGUCGAUUGCAGAGCUGAAGCGCUAUUGAAAGUAAUUACAUCACCUGCUCGAUGUACAAAAUAACCAUUAUAUCAUAUAUCAUAUUUUACGAUUAAAACAGCAAAAGGAGUAGAGAACGGCAAAAGGGAACUACACAAUUUAGUCAACAAACUAAGUUUAGAGGCGCAAAUGUAUGACGGAGCUAGCGCACGAAUUCCUUUCGCUGGUCUCGGUGUGAAUUACGUAGCCUGACAACUAAAUUUCAAAUCAUGGCAUGAUGGCAAGCAAGGAAAAGGUGCCAAUUCACCACCACUACCAAAUUCCUCCACAUCCAGCUAACUUUUAUGGCUUCAUGCCAACAUUGGCCAACUCCUUUAACAUGUAGUAGAAACAAAUGAUUUAAUUUAUAUCAGACAGUAAAAUCUUCCCUCAAGUCUGAAAGUACCACAGACCCUGAUGUAAGGAGCAGAAUAAAUUUAAACCAUCAGGCGCAUUGUAUCUAAAAUCAGGGCCAACCUCUCAAAUCUCUAUAUGGUGUUCUUGUCCUCGAGAAAUAGAAAAGCGAGUUAUAUACAAGGAAAAUGUACCAAAAGCAAGGCGAGUUAGUUGUUUCAGACAUGCAGUCCUUGCUAAACAUUUAGCCGAAAGAAGUAGAAUAACUAACCCAUCACUAAUGCUUAAGUACAGUAUCUGAUUUUUUUUCUGGCCAUGCAAACAUGUAAAUAUUUAGCAGAUAUGUAGACUAAAGUGUCAACUAAAAAACACUGACCGCAAUUGGAAGAAACAUAAUCAGUCUAGAAUAAGCAUUUGUAGCUAGAUAAAUUACUUAUUUCAAGUUGACUGCUAUUUCUUUUAGGAAGCAAAUCAUGGCAGGAAGUCAACUAUUAAAUGGCAAGAAGAUGAUUGUCCAGCAGUUUUUCCUCUGGUUGAUUUCGGGUAAAACAGAGAGGCCAUACCAGCUACACUUCCUCAUUUGUAAAUUCCCGAC